UGCUCGUUGGUGUAACUGGCAACACUACGGACUCUGACUCCGUCAUUCUUGGUUCGAAUCCAGGACGAGCAACCA
RNAcentral lists this transfer RNA (75 nucleotides) under Mycobacterium phage Tonenili. Its description in RNAcentral is "tRNA-Gln". It matches the Rfam family "tRNA". Rfam says of the family: Transfer RNA (tRNA) molecules are approximately 80 nucleotides in length. Their secondary structure includes four short double-helical elements and three loops (D, anti-codon, and T loops). Lineage: Duplodnaviria; Heunggongvirae; Uroviricota; Caudoviricetes. The record is from RNAcentral.